GACCUGAUAGCAUAGUGGUUAGUGCCUCUGCUCAACUUCACCUGUGCUUCAAUAUUUGGCAGGUGAUCCCUGUUCAAUUCGGGGUCAGGUCG
Molecule: non-coding RNA, 92 nt
Organism: Mycena metata
Lineage: Eukaryota; Fungi; Basidiomycota; Agaricomycetes; Agaricales; Mycenaceae
Source: the annotation of a GenBank genome assembly